Molecule: ribosomal RNA, 253 nt
Filed under: uncultured bacterium
Lineage: Bacteria
Description: partial 16S ribosomal RNA
Rfam family: Bacterial small subunit ribosomal RNA
Source: RNAcentral
GACGUAGGGCGCGAGCGUUGUCCGGAUUUAUUGGGCGUAAAGGGCUCGUAGGCGGUCUGUCGCGUCGGGAGCGAAAACUCAGGGCUUAACCCUGAGCCUGCUUCCGAUACGGGCAGACUAGAGGUAUGCAGGGGAGAACGGAAUUCCUGGUGUAGCGGUGGAAUGCGCAGAUAUCAGGAGGAACACCGGUGGCGAAGGCGGUUCUCUGGGCAUUACCUGACGCUGAGGAGCGAAAGUGUGGGGAGCGAACAGG